This 75-nucleotide transfer RNA is filed under the name Nitrososphaeria archaeon. Its description in RNAcentral is "tRNA-Arg". It matches the Rfam family "tRNA". Rfam says of the family: Transfer RNA (tRNA) molecules are approximately 80 nucleotides in length. The record is from RNAcentral. Lineage: Archaea; Thermoproteati; Nitrososphaerota; Nitrososphaeria.
GGGCGGGUAGCCUAACCAGGAUAGGGCGCAGGCCUCCGGAGCCUGAGGUUAGGGGUUCAAAUCCCCUCCCGCCCG